This 253-nucleotide ribosomal RNA is filed under the name uncultured bacterium. RNAcentral describes it as "partial 16S ribosomal RNA". It matches the Rfam family "Bacterial small subunit ribosomal RNA", at positions 524 to 776 of the family's 1533-position model. The record is from RNAcentral.
UACGUAGGGUGCAAGCGUUAAUCGGAAUUACUGGGCGUAAAGCGUGCGCAGGCGGUGAUGUAAGACCGAUGUGAAAUCCCCGGGCUUAACCUGGGAACUGCAUUGGUGACUGCAUUGCUCGAGUAUGGCAGAGGGGGGUGGAAUUCCACGUGUAGCAGUGAAAUGCGUAGAGAUGUGGAGGAACACCGAUGGCGAAGGCAGCCCCCUGGGCCAAUACUGACGCUCAUGCACGAAAGCGUGGGGAGCAAACAGG